ACUGGAUAACUGAAUUCUAGAAUUCAAGCCUGAUGUCAUAGUUCCAUGAGAAUUUUAUGAGAAGGAAAAGGAUGUUGUACAUGGGCAGAAAGGUGAAAAUUGUGGCCAGAGGCAGAUUGUGGUAAAUUACAAAAUUGGCUCAUAAUCCUUUAUUCCUUCUUGCCUCCAUGCUCUUUGCAAUGUGACUUUGCCACUUUUCUCAUUAAGAGAUGGAUUCUGUUCUCCAUUGCCUUCUGUCUGGACUGGUCUUGUAACUUGUUCUGGUUAAUACAGAGGUAAAUGUGAUGACACAUCAGAAGCCCAGGCCUCAAGCAAGCUUUCCCACUUGUUCUCUUGGAACCCUUCCCAGCUAUCAGGUAAAUAAGCCCAGGCUAUUGUGCUGGAUGAUGAGAGGUCACUGGAACACUGAUGAGCCAUAACAGCUGAGGCCAUUCUAGAAUAGGCAGCUUUAGCCAACCAGGCAGCUGACUGCAGAUACAGGCCUGCAUCCAGAUGAGUCCAGAAAAGCAACCUAGACACUACUGGCAAAGACAUUGAAAAGAAUCACACUGCUAAACCAGUAGCAGCUUUUAUCUUCUUCUCAGAUUGUAUACAUGCAGGAUAAAAGUGUUUCUAACACAUAGACUUCUAUAUUCCAGCAUAAAGAUGUAUUAGGCGCAUUUAUACUUUUACAUCGAAGCCUGUUUCAACAUGAACGGAGCCCAGAUAUUUAUGUAGGCCAGUAAUUGGAGUGUAUUUCCCUGUUCAAUUUCACAUUGUCUAUAAAAGGGUUUCUCAUGAUCGAUGACUUUCUAGUUAAAUUCAGAAGAAAACAUCUUGCAGCUACUGCCCUAUUGCCAUGGCCACACAUCACUGCCUUCUAGACAUGGGAAGUUGGUGACUUAAUCCUCGUUAUACCCUGAUUUUGGACAAAUUUUACAAGAAGAAUAGGACUUCUACUUCUCUAUGUCUACAUGCACCUGGAACAGUGCUAGGUCUAUGCUUACAAAUUGAUUGGUUCAGGUCACCGCCAUGAGCCUCAGGACAGAAAAUUGCCGGAUAUGAGAGAGAGAGAGAGAUUUGACUGGGCUAAGAAAGAAAUGAACACGAUUUAGAGAUGGAAAUGGUGACAUAUGGGCCUUUGAAGCCUCCCAUGUUCCAGAGAAGGUGAGGUUUCACCAUGUUAGUCAGGAUGGUCUCGAUCUCCUGACCUCGUGACCUGCCCAGCUCGGCCUCCCAAAGUGCUGGGAUUACAGGCAUGAGCCAUUGCGCCUAACCUCAGAAACCAUUUUUAUAACCUCAAUACCUAAUAGAAACUGGCACAUGGGCAACUUUGCAAAUUAAAUGGUUCACAUAUGAAGGAGCACAGCUGUAGAAGGAAAAUAAGGAAGAGAAAAUAACUUCGGAAAAUUCCCAGGACUCAUACUCUAAAGGUCAUGGUUCCAGUACCAGCUUGGCUACCCCUGUGAGCUGUGACUGCAAGAGUCAGCACCUAAAUUAGAUCAACACUACAACAUCAAAAAGCCAGCUUGAUGGCACAGCGGGGAGUGAGGAAGACUCGGUGGACAAAUCUGACUGGAAAACAAGUAGGCGUUGCAGAUGAAGACCUGGAACCAUGGUAGGAAGUGGGACAGGGAGCAUUUGGACAAGCUGUUCAAGAACUGAUCAUGCUCAUGUGUAUGGGAAAACAGAUGGAGGAAGAGAAAUUCCUGAAGAGCACAAGACUGGUGGGGCAAGGAACAAGCCUACUGAGAUGAGUUGCAGAUUUGAAGAUGGGAGAAAUGGUUUCGUUGUCUACCAUGUAAAAACUCAUUUAUGCAAGAUGCUUGAUAUCUGAAUUUCAAUUUCUUCAUUAUCAAAAUGAAUAUUAAAAAUACUCUACUUCUUAGAGUUGUCAAAAA
This 1880-nucleotide long non-coding RNA is filed under the name Homo sapiens (human). RNAcentral describes it as "long independently transcribed non-coding RNA 1911, transcript variant 1 (LINC01911)". Lineage: Eukaryota; Metazoa; Chordata; Mammalia; Primates; Hominidae. The record is from RNAcentral.